RNAcentral lists this ribosomal RNA (433 nucleotides) under uncultured bacterium. Its description in RNAcentral is "partial 16S ribosomal RNA". It matches the Rfam family "Bacterial small subunit ribosomal RNA", at positions 29 to 507 of the family's 1533-position model. The record is from RNAcentral.
AACGAACGCUGGCGGCAUGCCUAACACAUGCAAGUCGAACGAGACCUUCGGGUCUAGUGGCGCACGGGUGCGUAACGCGUUGGAACCUGCCCUUAGGUUCGGAAUAACUCCCCGAAAGGGGUGCUAAUACCGGAUAAUGUCUUCGGACCAAAGAUUUAUCGCCUUUGGAUGGGCCCGCGUUGGAUUAGCUAGUUGGUAGGGUAAAAGCCUACCAAGGCGACGAUCCAUAGCUGGUCUGAGAGGAUGAUCAGCCACACUGGGACUGAGACACGGCCCAGACUCCUACGGGAGGCAGCAGUGGGGAAUAUUGGACAAUGGGCGAAAGCCUGAUCCAGCAAGGCCGCGUGAGUGAUGAAGGCCUUAGGGUUGUAAAGCUAUUUUACCCGGGAUGAUAAUGACAGUACCGGGAGAAUAAGCUCCGGCUAACUCCGUG